UGCUAGGGUACCCGGGAUGGUUGCUAGGGUGUUGCUAUGCGGUUGCUAAGGUAUUCGGGGUGGUUGCUCUGGUUUUGCUUUGCGGUUGCUA
Molecule: long non-coding RNA, 91 nt
Organism: Sinocyclocheilus anshuiensis
Lineage: Eukaryota; Metazoa; Chordata; Actinopteri; Cypriniformes; Cyprinidae
Exons: 3
Source: RefSeq, a predicted model, not a curated record